GAGGAAAGUCCGGGCUCUAUUUAUAGAAAUAUAGCUGUAUAAAAUUCAGUGUAAGUAACUACUAGGAUAGUGCCACAGAAAUAUACCGCCUGUUGUUUGUUCAGGUAAGGGUGCAAUGGUACAUUAAAAGUGUACCAGAAAUAUUUUCAAGAUAUUUGCUAGGUAAACCCCGUAUUAGAGCAAAGUAAUCAAUUGUAUAAGUUUUCUAUAAAUUUUACUUUAAUAUAUUUUAUAAUAUUUAAGGUAUUACUGGUUUAUUUAUAUACUGCAUUAAGUAAAAUUUUUUACUAUAGAUUAAUAAUUACCCUUUUUAUUAAAUUAAUAAUAUAUAUUUUUUAUAAAAAAGAACAAAACCCGGCUUAC
RNAcentral lists this RNase P RNA (363 nucleotides) under Bostrychia simpliciuscula. RNAcentral describes it as "rnpB". The stretch from base 2 to 180 matches the Rfam family "Bacterial RNase P class A", at positions 44 to 222 of the family's 367-position model. The record is from RNAcentral. Lineage: Eukaryota; Rhodophyta; Florideophyceae; Ceramiales; Rhodomelaceae.